Molecule: transfer RNA, 86 nt
Filed under: Fidelibacterota bacterium
Lineage: Bacteria; Pseudomonadati; Fidelibacterota
Description: tRNA-Tyr
Rfam family: tRNA
About the family: Transfer RNA (tRNA) molecules are approximately 80 nucleotides in length.
Source: RNAcentral
GGGGAGAUGGCAGAGCGGUCAAAUGCACCAGACUGUAAAUCUGGCGGCGCAAGCCUACGGUGGUUCAAAUCCAUCUCUCCCCACAA